This 536-nucleotide long non-coding RNA is filed under the name Androctonus crassicauda. The record is from RNAcentral. Lineage: Eukaryota; Metazoa; Arthropoda; Arachnida; Scorpiones; Buthidae.
UUUAUGUUAACCUGUGAAUGUGCUUUGAGUUUUUUAUGAGCUUAUAUUUUAUUAUAAUACUUUGUUUUGUAUUGCUUGUUAUCUUGUUAUCUAUCACUUUUAGUAAGGAAAUAAUAUGACACCAUAAUAUUGCAUAUUUUUUUAAGGAAUAAAUGCCUCUUUACCACCCAUAAGAGCACAGAGGGGGCAACUACAAGUUAGGAGUUAAUGCUUUAAUCUAUGCUUUAAUUAUGUUCAAUUUCUAACAAUGAAAGUAAAUCCUGCAUAUCAGAUAUUUAUAUUACGAUUUAUAAUAAUAGCAAAAUUACAGUUAUGAAGUAGCAAGGAAAAUAAUUUUAUGGUUGGGGUUCACCAGAACAUGAUAACUGUAUUAAAGGGUUGCGCCAUUAGGAAGGCUGAGAACCACUGAUUUAAAUGGUUCUGUAACUUUUAAUUAUGUUAACUGCAGCUCUUUUUUGAAAUUUUAAAAGCUAUUCUAUAGUAGUACAACUUAGAAAAGAACCUGCGCAGAAACGAACUGGCGCAUUGAGAGAUAC